UACGUAGGGUGCAAGCGUUGUUCGGAAUUACUGGGCGUAAAGGGCUCGUAGGCGGCCAACUAAGUCGGAUGUGAAAUCCCCAGGCUCAACCUGGGAACUGCAUCUGUGACUGCAUCGCUGGAGUGCGGCAGAGGGGGAUGGAAUUCCGCGUGUAGCAGUGAAAUGCGUAGAUAUGCGGAGGAACACCGAUGGCGAAGGCAAUCCCCCUGGGCCUGCACUGACGCUCAUGCACGAAGCGUGGGGAGCAACAGG
RNAcentral lists this ribosomal RNA (252 nucleotides) under uncultured bacterium. RNAcentral describes it as "partial 16S ribosomal RNA". It matches the Rfam family "Bacterial small subunit ribosomal RNA", at positions 524 to 775 of the family's 1533-position model. The record is from RNAcentral.